GAGCAUCCUCAUCUCCUCCGGCUACACUCUGACUCUCUUCGCUCGGGACCGACUCUGGGGGAAAGGAAUAAGAAAACCAGGAGCAGUAGUGAGCCAUACCUUCCAGCAGCUGAGGACUGACGUUUACAAACUCCACUUUCUUGCGAAGGUAACGCUGGUUCAGUUUCCAGAUACAUGAGAUGAACGAAUUCUUCUCUGCAGUGCUGCUCGCCACCCACCGA
This is a non-coding RNA of Pimephales promelas (fathead minnow), 221 nucleotides long. Lineage: Eukaryota; Metazoa; Chordata; Actinopteri; Cypriniformes; Leuciscidae. The record is from RefSeq and is a predicted model, not a curated record.